Molecule: ribosomal RNA, 510 nt
Filed under: uncultured delta proteobacterium
Lineage: Bacteria; Deltaproteobacteria
Description: bacterial SSU rRNA
Rfam family: Bacterial small subunit ribosomal RNA
Source: RNAcentral
AGCGAACGUUAGCGGCGGGCCUAACACAUGCAAGUCGAGCGAGAAAAGGGGCAACCCUUUAGUAAAGCGGCGGACGGGUGAGUAACACGUAGGUAAUCUUCCCUUGAGCGGGGGACAACGAGCCGAAAGGCUCGCUAAUACCGCAUACGUUCCCGAGGUCCCCGGACCUUGGGAGGAAAGCCAGGCAGCAAUGUCCGGCACUCGAGGAGGAGCCUGCGUCGCAUCAGCUAGUUGGUGGGGUAACGGCCUACCAAGGCGAAGACGCGUAGCUGGUCUGAGAGGAUGAUCAGCCACACUGGGACUGAGACACGGCCCAGACUCCUACGGGAGCAGCAGUGGGGAAUAUUGGACAAUGGCGCAAGCCUGAUCCAGCCACGCCGCGUGAGUGAUGAAGGCCUUCGGGUCGUAAAGCUCUGUGGGGAGGGACGAACCGCUGCACGUUCAUAGCGUGCAGCAUGACGGUACCUCCUUAGCAAGCACCGGCUAACUUCGUGCCAGCAGCCGCGGUAA